Molecule: long non-coding RNA, 864 nt
Organism: Populus euphratica (Euphrates poplar)
Lineage: Eukaryota; Viridiplantae; Streptophyta; Magnoliopsida; Malpighiales; Salicaceae
Exons: 2
Source: RefSeq, a predicted model, not a curated record
UCACAAGGGUCUCCUGCUAAAUUAUUUUUUUUAUUGUUUUCACAACAUCAAAAAGAGAUUUCGUGAUCUUCACCAUCCUAUAAUCAUGGAUCAACAUCAUGGCAACCGCGCUUCUCCAAACGAGAAUUAAAAGAAACUGGAGUGCACGUCAGCUAUGUGAUCUAUCAACAAAGACUCCAGUGGCAAUCGAUCUUGACUGCAGCAACAAUGUUCCUUGCCCUUGGUAUUCAGUUGGAAUAAUCUUUUAAUGGACUCCGCAUCUCAGAUCUAGCUGCAACUAUGCUCAUGGGGGGUGUGGCUAAAGAAAUUGUAGGCCCAAAGUCCUCUUGCUGCAUAAACGCGUGAUGGGACACUGCUUCCAUUUUCAUCGUCAUGUUUUGCCAUGAUGCUUAGUUUCAGGAUCAUGUGCUUCUCGAUCCUUGUAUUUCUGUUGCCAUUGCUGCUGAUAUUUCCUGCUACAAGGUUUGUUUUCGUUGACAAACUUCUCAUUUGUAUGCAAUAUUUCCAUUUUUCCUUGCUCAAUGUUUCUGUGUGGGCGUCCACAUUUUACCCCAACCAUGGAUUUAAAAAUAUUCGAUCAAUCAACACACCAUAGUUUUGUAUGAUCACACUAAACUCUUUUAAAAUCUUGGUUAAAAAAAAGUCAAACAAUUUAUAGCUUUCUUUAAAGCUACUUUCUCAGAACAUAACCAUGAAUUCAUCAUAUAUACGCAAGUGUUGUAAUGUCAUAAAGCCAGCCAUACUUCGAGAUUAAAUGAUAACGGACAUUCAAAAGUUUGAGCAUUUCAGCUAAAAUUACGAGCACCUUCUACAACAACCGAGAGGCAGUUUUGGCAAAAAUUGGCGAUGGUGUGCGGGGUGCUG